CCCAUCCCCAUAUGUCCCAUCCCCAUAGAUCCCCAUCCCCAUAGGUCCCCAUCCCCAUAGAUCCCCAUAGAUCCCUAUAGUUCCCCAUAGAUCCCCAUCCCUGUAGGUCCCCAUAGAUCCCUAUAGUUCCCCAUAGAUCCCCAUCCCCGUAGGUCUCCAUAGAUCCCCAUAGGUCCCCAUCUCCAUAUGUCCCCAUCCCCAUAUGUCCUCAUCCCCAUAGAUCCCCAUAUGCCCCCACCCCCAUAGAUCCCCCCAUUCCCAUAGGUCCCCAUAGACCCCCAUAGUCCCCAUAGGUCCCUAUAGGUCCCCAUUCCCAUAUGCCCCCGUGCCCAUAGGUCCCCAUCUCCAUAGAUCCCCAUAUGCCCCCACCCCAUAGAUCCCCACCCCCAUAGAUCCCCAUCCCCAUAGAUCCCCAUAGAUCCCCACCCCCAUACGCCCCCACCCCCAUAUGUCCCUAUGGGAACACUGGGGCUCACCAAACCCCCAUGGGUGACACCCCCCCUUACCCCCCUCUCCUUCUGUCCCUAUACUGUCCCCAGAGAUCGAUGAGGACCGGCUCCCCAACGCUCUGCUGAAGUCGGGUCUGGCCAUGUCCCCCAGGCAGAGGAAGAAGGUUUACUGCACCACCCCCACCGUCAAAGAGCUGCAGAUGAUGGUGGAGCAUCACCUGUGCAAGCAGGCCAGGGGUGAGGAUGACGAUGAUGUUCCCAUUGGAGCCCAGGAGCUCAGCACAACCUGCUGCCACCACGGGGACCCCGAGCACAACCACAGCCCCGGGGGCAGCUGCCCAUUGACCCCAGCUCAACCCACAGCACAGGGCAGCCCAGAGCCUGGGGACAGGGAUGAGAGGCAAAGUGCGGGUGAGGAGGGCGCCCAUAUAGAACCAGGGGGAAAGGGAGCUGCUGGCUGCGUGUAGGUACGUGAUGGGGGGC
This 932-nucleotide long non-coding RNA is filed under the name Coturnix japonica (Japanese quail). RNAcentral's name for it is "lncRNA (ENSCJPG00005020087.1)". The record is from RNAcentral. Lineage: Eukaryota; Metazoa; Chordata; Aves; Galliformes; Phasianidae.